Molecule: transfer RNA, 72 nt
Filed under: bacterium
Lineage: Bacteria
Description: tRNA-Arg
Rfam family: tRNA
About the family: Transfer RNA (tRNA) molecules are approximately 80 nucleotides in length. Their secondary structure includes four short double-helical elements and three loops (D, anti-codon, and T loops).
Source: RNAcentral
GCCCCUGUAGUCUAAUGGAUAGAAUGGGGGUUUCCUAAAACCCAGAUGAAGGUUCGAUUCCUUCCAGGGGCC